Molecule: ribosomal RNA, 1389 nt
Filed under: Haererehalobacter sp. SO80
Lineage: Bacteria; Pseudomonadati; Pseudomonadota; Gammaproteobacteria
Description: 16S ribosomal RNA
Rfam family: Bacterial small subunit ribosomal RNA
Source: RNAcentral
GAGCGGCAGCACGGGGAGCUUGCUCCCUGGUGGCGAGCGGCGGACGGGUGAGUAAUGCAUAGGAAUCUGCCCGGUAGUGGGGGAUAACGUGGGGAAACCCACGCUAAUACCGCAUACGUCCUACGGGAGAAAGCGGAGGCUCUUCGGACUUCGCGCUAUCGGAUGAGCCUAUGUCGGAUUAGCUGGUUGGUAAGGUAACGGCUUACCAAGGCGACGAUCCGUAGCUGGUCUGAGAGGAUGAUCAGCCACACUGGGACUGAGACACGGCCCAGACUCCUACGGGAGGCAGCAGUGGGGAAUAUUGGACAAUGGGCGAAAGCCUGAUCCAGCCAUGCCGCGUGUGUGAAGAAGGCUUUCGGGUUGUAAAGCACUUUCAGCGAGGAAGAAAGCCUUUGGGUUAAUACCCCAGAGGAAGGACAUCACUCGCAGAAGAAGCACCGGCUAACUCCGUGCCAGCAGCCGCGGUAAUACGGAGGGUGCGAGCGUUAAUCGGAAUUACUGGGCGUAAAGCGCGCGUAGGUGGCUUGGCACGCCGGUUGUGAAAGCCCCCGGGCUCAACCCUGGGAACGGCAUCCGGAACGGCCAGGCUAGAGUGCAGGAGAGGAAAGUAGAAUUCCCGGUGUAGCGGUGAAAUGCGUAGAGAUCGGGAGGUAUUACCAGUGGAGAAGCAGGCUUUCUGCUGACAUCUGACACUGAGGUGCGAAUGCGUGGGUAGCAAACAGGAUAAGAUAACAUGGUAGUCCACGCAGUAAACGAUGUCGACUAGCCGUUGGGACCUUUAGGGAUUUAGUGGGCGCAGUUAACGCGAUAAGUCGACCGCCUGGGGAGUACGGCCGCAAGGUUAAAAACUCAAAUGAAUUGACGGGGGGCCCGCACAAGCGGUGGAGCAUGUGGUUUAAUUCGAUGCAACGCGAAGAACCUUACCUACCCUUUGACAUCCUGCGAACCCGGAAGAGAUUCCGGGGUGCCUUCGGGAACGCAGUGACAGGUGCUGCAUGGCAGUCGUCAGCUCGUGUUGUGAAAUGUUGGGUUAAGUCCCGUAACGAGCGCAACCCUUGUCCUUAUUUGCCAGCGAUUCGGUCGGGAACUCUAAGGAGACUGCCGGUGACAAACCGGAGGAAGGUGGGGACGACGUCAAGUCAUCAUGGCCCUUACGGGUAGGGCUACACACGUGCUACAAUGGCCGGUACAAAGGGUUGCGAGACCGCGAGGUGGAGCGAAUCCCAGAAAGCCGGCCUCAGUCCGGAUCGGAGUCUGCAACUCGACUCCGUGAAGUCGGAAUCGCUAGUAAUCGUGAAUCAGAAUGUCACGGUGAAUACGUUCCCGGGCCUUGUACACACCGCCCGUCACACCAUGGGAGUGGACUGCACCAGAAGUGGUUAGCUUAAC